This 887-nucleotide ribosomal RNA is filed under the name uncultured Staphylococcus sp. RNAcentral describes it as "bacterial SSU rRNA". It matches the Rfam family "Bacterial small subunit ribosomal RNA", at positions 28 to 896 of the family's 1533-position model. Lineage: Bacteria; Bacillati; Bacillota; Bacilli; Caryophanales; Staphylococcaceae. The record is from RNAcentral.
GAUGAACGCUGGCGGCGUGCCUAAUACAUGCAAGUCGAGCGAACGGACGAGAAGCUUGCUUCUCUGAUGUUAGCGGCGGACGGGUGAGUAACACGUGGAUAACCUACCUAUAAGACUGGGAUAACUUCGGGAAACCGGAGCUAAUACCGGAUAAUAUUUUGAACCGCAUGGUUCAAAAGUGAAAGACGGUCUUGCUGUCACUUAUAGAUGGAUCCGCGCUGCAUUAGCUAGUUGGUAAGGUAACGGCUUACCAAGGCAACGAUGCAUAGCCGACCUGAGAGGGUGAUCGGCCACACUGGAACUGAGACACGGUCCAGACUCCUACGGGAGGCAGCAGUAGGGAAUCUUCCGCAAUGGGCGCAAGCCUGACGGAGCAACGCCGCGUGAGUGAUGAAGGUCUUCGGAUCGUAAAACUCUGUUAUUAGGGAAGAACAUAUGUGUAAGUAACUGUGCACAUCUUGACGGUACCUAAUCAGAAAGCCACGGCUAACUACGUGCCAGCAGCCGCGGUAAUACGUAGGUGGCAAGCGUUAUCCGGAAUUAUUGGGCGUAAAGCGCGCGUAGGCGGUUUUUUAAGUCUGAUGUGAAAGCCCACGGCUCAACCGUGGAGGGUCAUUGGAAACUGGAAAACUUGAGUGCAGAAGAGGAAAGUGGAAUUCCAUGUGUAGCGGUGAAAUGCGCAGAGAUAUGGAGGAACACCAGUGGCGAAGGCGACUUUCUGGUCUGUAACUGACGCUGAUGUGCGAAAGCGUGGGGAUCAAACAGGAUUAGAUACCCUGGUAGUCCACGCCGUAAACGAUGAGUGCUAAGUGUUAGGGGGUUUCCGCCCCUUAGUGCUGCAGCUAACGCAUUAAGCACUCCGCCUGGGGAGUACGACCGCAAGGUUG